CUGCAGCUGGUCUAGUGGCUGAGGCUCCUGGUUUUCAACCAGGCUGUCCAGGUUCAAUUCCUGAGCAGCGAA
This 72-nucleotide transfer RNA is filed under the name Sus scrofa (pig). It matches the Rfam family "tRNA". Rfam says of the family: Transfer RNA (tRNA) molecules are approximately 80 nucleotides in length. Their secondary structure includes four short double-helical elements and three loops (D, anti-codon, and T loops). Lineage: Eukaryota; Metazoa; Chordata; Mammalia; Artiodactyla; Suidae. The record is from Rfam by way of RNAcentral.